AAGCCAGACUCCUACGGGAGGCAGCAGUGGGGGAUAUUGCACAAUGGGGGGAACCCUGAUGCAGCGACGCCGCGUGAGCGAUGAAGUAUUUCGGUAUGUAAAGCCCUAUCGGCAGGGAAGAAGCAAGACGGUACCUGACUAAGAAGCCCCGGCUAACUACGUGCCAGCAGCCGCGGUAAUACGUAGGGGGCGAGCGUUAUCCGGAUUCACUGGGUGUAAAGGGAGCGUAGACGGCCAUGCAAGCCAGGGGUGAAAGCCCGGGGCCCAACCCCGGGACUGCCCUUGGAACUGCAUGGCUGGAGUGCGGGAGGGGCAGGCGGAAUUCCCGGUGUAGCGGUGAAAUGCGUAGAUAUCAGGAGGAACACCGGCGGCGAAGGCGGCCUGCUGGACCGCGACUGACGUUGAGGCUCGAAAGCGUGGGGAGCGAACAGGAUUAGAUACCCGAGUA
Molecule: ribosomal RNA, 448 nt
Filed under: uncultured bacterium
Lineage: Bacteria
Description: bacterial SSU rRNA
Rfam family: Bacterial small subunit ribosomal RNA
Source: RNAcentral